RNAcentral lists this ribosomal RNA (289 nucleotides) under uncultured bacterium. RNAcentral's name for it is "partial 16S ribosomal RNA". It matches the Rfam family "Bacterial small subunit ribosomal RNA", at positions 775 to 1067 of the family's 1533-position model. The record is from RNAcentral.
GGAUUAGAUACCCUGGUAGUCCACGCAGUAAACGAUGAAUACUAGCUGUUUGCGAUAUACAGUAAGCGGUACAGCGAAAGCGUUAAGUAUUCCACCUGGGGAGUACGACCGCAAGGUUGAAACUCAAAGGAAUUGACGGGGGCCCGCACAAGCGGAGGAACAUGUGGUUUAAUUCGAUGAUACGCGAGGAACCUUACCCGGGCUUGAAAUGUACUCGACGAAGGAGGAAACUUCUUUUCCAGCAAUGGCGAGUAUGUAGGUGCUGCAUGGUUGUCGUCAGCUCGUGCCG